RNAcentral lists this ribosomal RNA (433 nucleotides) under uncultured bacterium. RNAcentral's name for it is "bacterial SSU rRNA". It matches the Rfam family "Bacterial small subunit ribosomal RNA", at positions 958 to 1392 of the family's 1533-position model. The record is from RNAcentral.
AACGCGAAGAACCUUACCAAGGCUUGACAUAUACCUGAAAAGGCUGGAAACAGUCUCCCCGCAAGGCAGGUAUACAGGUGGUGCAUGGUUGUCGUCAGCUCAUGUCGUGAGAUGUUGGGUUAAGUCCCGCAACGAGCGCAACCCUCGUUCUAUGUUGCCAGCACGUAAUGGUGGGAACUCAUAGGAGACUGCCGGGGUCAACUCGGAGGAAGGUGGGGAUGACGUCAAGUCAUCAUGCCCCUUAUGUCCAGGGCUUCACGCAUGCUACAAUGGCCGGUACAAAGGGCUGCGAUACCGCAAGGUGGAGCGAAUCCCAAAAAGCCGGUCUCAGUUCGGAUCGGGGUCUGCAACUCGACCCCGUGAAGUCGGAGUCGCUAGUAAUCGCAGAUCAGCAACGCUGCGGUGAAUACGUUCCCGGGCCUUGUACACACCG